AUAGCGUAUAUUUAAGUUGUUGCAGUUAAAAAGCUCGUAGUUGGAUUUUGGUUAAGAGGGCGCGGUCGGCCGUUUGGUCUGUACUGCGUUGUCUUGACUUCCUGAUGAGGACAUGCUCUUGGUUAACGCUGAGACAUGGAGUCAUCGUGGUUACUUUGAAAAAAUUAGAGUGUUCAAAGCGGGCUUACGCUUGAAUAUAUUAGCAUGGAAUAACACUAUAGGACUCCUGUCCUAUCUCGUUGGUCUCGGGAUGGGAGUAAUGAUUAAGAGGAACAGUUGGGGGCAUUCGUAUUUCAUUGUCAGAGGUGAAAUUCUUGGAUUUAUGAAAGACGAACUUCUGCGAAAGCAUUUGCCAAGGAUGUUUUCAUUAAUCAAGAACGAAAGUUGGGGGCUCGAAGAUGAUUAGAUACCAUCCUAGUCUCAACCAUAAACGAUGCCGACUAGGGAUUGGUGGAUGUUAAUUGAUGACUUCACCAGCACCUUAUGAGAAAUCAAAGUUUUUGGGUUCCGGGGGGAGUAUGGUCGCAAGGCUGAAACUUAAAGGAAUUGA
Molecule: ribosomal RNA, 550 nt
Filed under: uncultured Chlorophyta
Lineage: Eukaryota; Viridiplantae; Chlorophyta
Description: SSU rRNA
Rfam family: Eukaryotic small subunit ribosomal RNA
Source: RNAcentral